Molecule: transfer RNA, 69 nt
Filed under: Marmota marmota marmota (Alpine marmot)
Lineage: Eukaryota; Metazoa; Chordata; Mammalia; Rodentia; Sciuridae
Also listed under: 4 other names
Rfam family: tRNA
About the family: Transfer RNA (tRNA) molecules are approximately 80 nucleotides in length. Their secondary structure includes four short double-helical elements and three loops (D, anti-codon, and T loops).
Source: Rfam by way of RNAcentral
GGGGUUGUAGCUCAGUGGUAGAGCACUUGCCUAGCAUGUGUGAGGCCCUGGGUUCCAUCCCCAGCACCA